RNAcentral lists this small nuclear RNA (176 nucleotides) under Canis lupus familiaris (dog). RNAcentral describes it as "U4 spliceosomal RNA (ENSCAFG00000043782.2, ENSCAFG00030022105.1, ENSCAFG00805010796.1, ENSCAFG00845014194.1)". The stretch from base 1 to 135 matches the Rfam family "U4 spliceosomal RNA". From Rfam's summary of the family: U4 small nuclear RNA (U4 snRNA) is a component of the major U2-dependent spliceosome. The structure of U4 snRNA from yeast and human has been reported. RNAcentral also lists the same sequence under 1 other name. Lineage: Eukaryota; Metazoa; Chordata; Mammalia; Carnivora; Canidae. The record is from Rfam by way of RNAcentral.
AGCUUUGCGCAGUGGCAGUAUUGUAGCCAAUGAGGUUUAUCUGAGGUGCAAUUAUUGCUAAUUGAAAACUUUUCCUAACACGAGUACUGGAAAAAUUUAAGUAUGUAGCUCAUAUGAUAUUUCUACUCGGCAGAACUAGGAAAUAUAUUCCCAGAAAAUAAUUUUUUUUUCAAAGA